RNAcentral lists this ribosomal RNA (445 nucleotides) under uncultured bacterium. Its description in RNAcentral is "partial 16S ribosomal RNA". It matches the Rfam family "Bacterial small subunit ribosomal RNA", at positions 354 to 796 of the family's 1533-position model. The record is from RNAcentral.
GUAGGGAAUAUUGGGCAAUGGAUGCAAGUCUGACCCAGCCAUCCCGCGUGCCGGAAGAAGGCCCUCAGGGUUGUAAACGGCUUUUGACGGUGAAGAAUCGACAGGAUGCGUCCUGUUUUGACGGUAGCCGUUGAAUAAGCACCGGCUAACUCCGUGCCAGCAGCCGCGGUAAUACGGAGGGUGCGAGCGUUGUUCGGUUUUAUUGGGUUUAAAGGGUGCGUAGGCUGGAAGGUCAGUCAGCGGUGAAAAGCUAUCGCUUAACGAUAGUCUUGCCGCAGAUACUUCCUUUCGUGGAUGAGGAGGAGGCCACUGGAACGGAUGGUGUAGCGGUGAAAUGCAUAGAUAUCAUCCAGAACACCGAUUGUGAAGGCAGGUGGCUGUACCUUAAUCGACGCUGAUGCACGAAAGCAUGGGGAGCAAACAGGAUUAGAAACCCGAGUAGUCC